AGCUCGAUAGUCUAGUGGUAGGGCGUUGGGCUCAUAACCCAAAGGUCGUCGGAUCGAGACCGACUCGAGCUA
Ustilago bromivora is the source of this 72-nucleotide non-coding RNA. The record is from the annotation of a GenBank genome assembly. NCBI's taxonomy places the organism in Eukaryota, Fungi, Basidiomycota, Ustilaginomycetes, Ustilaginales, Ustilaginaceae.